AUCCAGUUGCUGACGAGUCCCAAAUAGGACGAAAUGCGCGUUAUCCUGGAU
This 51-nucleotide non-coding RNA is filed under the name Trichobilharzia regenti. Lineage: Eukaryota; Metazoa; Platyhelminthes; Trematoda; Strigeidida; Schistosomatidae. The record is from RNAcentral.